AAUCAUCUAGCUCGCAUCGUUUACGGCUGGGACUACCCGGGUAUCUAAUCCGGUUCGCUCCCCCAGCUUUCACCCCUCACCGUCGAGCGCGUUCUGGCGGACCGCCUUCGCCACUGGUGGUCUUCCGCGGAUCAAAGGAUUUUACCCCUACACGCGGAGUACCGUCCGCCUCUCCCGCCUCCUAGUCUCGCAGUAUCCUCUGCAGGCCAGCCGUUGAGCGACUGGAUUUAACAGAGGACUUACGAAACCGGCUACGGGUGCUUUAGGCCCAAUAAUCGUCCCGACCACUCGAGGAGCUGGUAUUACCGCGGCGGCUGACACCAGACUUGCCCUCCCCUUAUUCC
This 344-nucleotide ribosomal RNA is filed under the name uncultured archaeon. Its description in RNAcentral is "partial 16S ribosomal RNA". The record is from RNAcentral.